This 269-nucleotide ribosomal RNA is filed under the name uncultured bacterium. Its description in RNAcentral is "partial small subunit ribosomal RNA". It matches the Rfam family "Bacterial small subunit ribosomal RNA", at positions 26 to 291 of the family's 1533-position model. The record is from RNAcentral.
AGGACAAACGCUGGCGGCGUACCUAAGACAUGCAAGUCGAACGGAUCAUAUGGUUUCGGCCGUAUGGUGAGUGGCGGACGGGUGAGUAACGCGUAGGAACCUGUCAUCAAGUGGGGGAUAACGCUGGGAAACCGGCGCUAAUACCGCAUGAGGUCGCAGCAAUGCGAAGAAAGCUUUUCGCGCAAGUGGAAGGCGCUCGAUGAGGGGCCUGCGUCCGAUUAGCUUGUUGGUGGGGUAAAGGCCUACCAAGGCAUCGAUCGGUAGCUGGU